CGCGGCCUAUCAGCUUGUUGGUGGGGUAAUGGCCCACCAAGGCUACGACGGGUAGCUGGUCUGAGAGGACGACCAGCCACACUGGGACUGAGAUACGGCCCAGACUCCUACGGGAGGCAGCAGUAGGGAAUCUUGCGCAAUGGGCGAAAGCCUGACGCAGCAACGCCGCGUGAGGGAUGAAGGCUCUCGGGUUGUAAACCUCUUUCAGCAGGGACGAAAUUGACGGUACCUGCAGAAGAAGCUCCGGCCAACUACGUGCCAGCAGCCGCGGUAAUACGUAGGGAGCAAGCGUUGUCCGGAUUUAUUGGGCGUAAAGAGCUCGUAGGCGGCUCUGUAAGUCGGGUGUGAAAUCUCCAGGCUCAACCUGGAGCUGCCACUCGAUACUGCAGUGGCUAGAGUCCGGUAGGGGAUCACGGAAUUCCUGGUGUAGCGGUGAAAUGCGCAGAGAUCAGGAGGAACACCGGCGGCGAAGGCGGUGAUCUGGGCCGGCACUGACGCUGAGGAGCGAAAGCGUGGGGAGCAAACAGGAUUAGAUACCCUGGUAGUCCACGCUGUAAACGGUGGGAACUAGGUGUGGGGCUCUAUCGACGGGUUCCGUGCCGUAGCUAACGCAUUAAGUUCCCCGCCUGGGGAGUACGG
This 639-nucleotide ribosomal RNA is filed under the name uncultured Actinomycetes bacterium. Its description in RNAcentral is "bacterial SSU rRNA". It matches the Rfam family "Bacterial small subunit ribosomal RNA", at positions 232 to 885 of the family's 1533-position model. The record is from RNAcentral. Lineage: Bacteria; Bacillati; Actinomycetota; Actinomycetes.